Molecule: unclassified non-coding RNA, 353 nt
Filed under: soil metagenome
Description: partial contains 5.8S ribosomal RNA, internal transcribed spacer 2, and large subunit ribosomal RNA
Rfam family: 5.8S ribosomal RNA (bases 1-120)
Source: RNAcentral
GAUGAAGAACGCAGCGAAAUGCGAUACGUAGUGUGAAUUGCAGAAUUCAGUGAAUCAUCGAAUCUUUGAACGCACAUUGCGCCCGCCAGUAUUCUGGCGGGCAUGCCUGUUCGAGCGUCAUUACAACCCUCAGGCCCCCGGGCCUGGCGUUGGGGAUCGGCGGAAGCCCCCUGCGGGCACAACGCCGUCCCCCAAAUACAGUGGCGGUCCCGCCGCAGCUUCCAUUGCGUAGUAGCUAACACCUCGCAACUGGAGAGCGGCGCGGCCACGCCGUAAAACACCCAACUUCUGAAUGUUGACCUCGAAUCAGGUAGGAAUACCCGCUGAACUUAAGCAUAUCAAUAAGCGGAGGA